UGCUUGACAUUCCCUUUGUCAGCACUAGUAUAUUCCUCCAAUGUGGCAGCUACCUUGAGAGCCGUCGAGAUGUCAUCGGCCUUGGAUCGUCUCAACUCUUGAACCGCCCAAGGUUUAAGCCCGGAUAAGAAGUUGAACAAGAGAUCCUCGUCGCUCAUGUUGUCAAUUUGUAGCAUCAAGUUGGAGAAUGCCUUGACGUACUCCUUGAUCGAAUGGCCCUGCUUGAGGUCCCUCAUUUUCGCCCUAGCCUCGCGCCUUACGUGCACCGGGUAGAACU
RNAcentral lists this long non-coding RNA (277 nucleotides) under Nicotiana benthamiana. RNAcentral describes it as "long non-coding RNA (NBEN_LNC011790)". Lineage: Eukaryota; Viridiplantae; Streptophyta; Magnoliopsida; Solanales; Solanaceae. The record is from RNAcentral.